CCCGGUGUAGCGGAGAAAUGGGUAGAGAUUUGGAGGAAUACCGUUGGCGAAGGCGGCCCCCCUGGACGAAGACUGACGCUCAGGUGCGAAAGCGUGGGGAGCAAACAGGAUUAGAUACCCUGGUAGUCCACGCCGUAAACGAUGUCGACUUGGAGGUUGUGCCCUUGAGGCGUGGCUUCCGGAGCUAACGCGUAAAAUUGACCGCCUGGGGAGUACGGCCGCAAGGUUAAAACUCAAAUGAAUUGACGGGGGCCCGCACAAGCGGUGGAGCAUGUGGUUGAAUUCGAUGCAACGCGAAGAACCUUACCUGGUCUUGACAUCCACGGAAGUUUUCAGAGAUGAGAAUGUGCCUUCGGGAACCGUGAGACAGGUGCUGCAUGGCUGUCGUCAGCUCGUGUUGUGAAAUGUUGGGUUAAGUCCCGCAACGAGCGCAACCCUUAUCCUUUGUUGCCAGCGGUCCGGCCGGGAACUCAAAGGAGACUGCCAGUGAUAAACUGGAGGAAGGUGGGGAUGACGUCAAGUCAUCAUGGCCCUUACGACCAGGGCUACACACGUGCUACAAUGGCGCAUACAAAGAGAAGUGACCUCGCGAGAGCAAGCGGACCUCAUAAAGUGCGUCGUAGUCCGGAUUGGAGUCUGCAACUCGACUCCAUGAAGUCGGAAUCGCUAGUAAUCGUGGAUCAGAAUGCCACGGUGAAUACGUUCCCGGGCCUUGUACACACCGCCCGUCACACCAUGGGAGUGGGUUGCAAAAGAAGUAGGUAGCUUUAACCUUCGGGUAUGGCGCUUCCCACUUAAAAACCUUCGGGAGGGCGCUU
Molecule: ribosomal RNA, 818 nt
Filed under: Escherichia coli
Lineage: Bacteria; Pseudomonadati; Pseudomonadota; Gammaproteobacteria; Enterobacterales; Enterobacteriaceae
Description: bacterial SSU rRNA
Rfam family: Bacterial small subunit ribosomal RNA
Source: RNAcentral